UUACCUAUUUUAAAGCAUAGAUUGAGAACUGAAGUACAAGAAAUUGGCGUCGAUAAUGCUCCAAUUUGUAGUUAGCUUGUGAGGUGACAUCUAAAUUUCAUCGUGGCACUAGGGUUUAGCUGAGGUUUAUCCUGCUUAUGCUUACGGACAUCAGAUUUAAAUGCAGUUCAGACACUCCACAGUCUAAACCUCUUCUCCCUCAAAUCAUUCUGAAAUUUUCUCACUUUCUUACCGAUCAUCUUCACCCAAUUCUUUCUUCUCUCAUCUAAAUUUCAUCGUAGCGAAACUAACCCUCCCUCCGCCAUUGCUGAGUACAGACGCCGAUUUGAUGCGUCGCCAGUGGCGGAUCCGGAUCCCACCCGGGAUACCCCUCAAAAUCAUCCGAGAUAUGCACAUUUUUGCCGUUUUAUUCUUCAAGCCCCCUUUACAAUCGAUUAAUUUCUCAUCUGUCUUCUUUCUGUUGUGAUUCAAAUUUCACCAGCUGUCUCUCUCGUUUUCCCUUCAAUCGCGCACAAAAGAACACGAGGUUCAACCUAUUUCCCUUUAAUCGAGUUGCAGGUUUGAUGAGCGAGAUGGAGAAGGGUGCGUGGGUUUUAUGGGAUUCACAUAGAAAACGAGGAUUUAUCUUCUUUUUUUCCGAUUUGCAGGUGUGAUUACAGUGCAGCUAAUCAGUGGUGGUUUUAGGGGCUUAUGGUGGCUAUUCUCACCAGACGAAGGGGAGGUUGGUUGAUGGCCGCUUACCUGUAUGAUCGGAAACUCACGAUGCUAACAGGUUCACAAAUGAAACAGUAAAAACUCAUAAAUAAGGUACGCAUCAGUUAUACGAGUCAUAUGUAAUGUUGGUAUAUGAUGCUCUUAUUUUCUUUUCCCCAUUCAUACAAAAUUACAUAAUUAAAUACUAGUAAAACCAUUGAUAUGCACACAAAGUGUUUGCAUAAAUGCUUCAGUGACAUUCUGUCUUGUGAUUUCUGUUUCUUGUAAUUUUGAUUUCUGUGAUUUGGUAUUGUACAUUUGAAUGCUCUGUACAAAAUAUGUUUAUAAACUUGAUAUUAAUAGAUGAUUUUGUAUCUCUACACUUGACUUGAUGUUGUCUUGCAAUAACUAUCAACAUGGUUUUAUCUCAAUAGUGUCAUAGUCCAUUUCCAUUCUCUUAAAAUUUAAUUAUAUACACAAUACUUAAUACUUAAACCAAGAGUCUAAGAUACAAGGGUGUCAUAAGAUGAUUUUUCACCAAAAAUGUAUAUCUUCCUUUGUUUUUUUCUUUUAUCUUCCGAUUUUGGUCUUGUUUGGAUAGGUUCUGAACCGGCGAUUGAGUCUUUACCAUAUAAGUGAUGCAAUACUCAAAAAAGAACAUUUAUCAAGAGUUUAGAAAACAAACAUUUUUUGGAAAUAUUAUAUCACAAAAAAGUAACGCAAGCUUUGUCAAAGAAAGUCUUUAAUUUAUCAGAUGUUCUUUCUUUCUGAAGUUCAAUUCCAAUUCCUUGCAUGGGCGAAAGAAAAAAAAUAUGGGCUACCCAUUUGGUUCCGCCCCUGUGUGUCGCCAUUAACUUCGACAAUUAAAGCAUGUCUCAAGCAAAGGCCAAGACGAUGAAAUAUCUCAGUUAUAUCUAUAAGGUAUGCAGGGGUACUUCACACAGUUAUUGCUCAGGUAGUUCUUUCAAAGCCCUUCAUUUAAAAAAUGUACCAUUCUAAAUCCUGUGGCCAACAACGAGAGCUUUGGUUUCCUAAAAAACUCGAGGAGAAUUUAUUGUUGCAGUGCAAAAUAUCGGGGCACUAUUAAGGAGCUUGAUGCUCUCUACAAGGAUGGAAAGUUAAAGGAAGCGGUGGAGGUUUGAAUUUAGUCGAGCAGAAAAACAUAUGUGUUGACAUGCAUAGGUUGUUAUUGUUGAUGAAAGAAUGCGAAGAUUCUCAGGCACUCAAAGAAGCCAAAGACGUUCAUGAAUACCUUAAACGGUCAGUAUUAAGAUCUCAUUGUGAUGCUUAUAUUUACAGCCAAAUCUUGGAAAUGUAUUCCAAAUGUGGUUCCAUGGAAGAAACAUAUAUGGUGUUUAAUGAAAUGCCUCAAAGAAAUCUCACUUCUUGGGACACCAUGAUAACAUGGCUUGCUAAAAACAGCCACGCGAAGAUGCAAUUGAAAUAUUGAGGAGGUUCAAAAGGUGGGAUUAAAGCCUGAUAAUCAAAUGUUUGUUGGUGUCCUCACUGCAUGUAGUGUUGUAGGAGACAUCAGAGAAGGGCUAUUGCACUCAGAGAAUGAAGCAUUAGAAUUCAUUGAAAAGAUGUCAAUCGAGCAAAAUGUCGAAAUUUAGGAAAAUAUCAUGAAUAAAUGUAGGGUUUACGGUGAUUUGAAGCUCGGAAACAAAAAAAAAAAAUCAUCAGAAUUUAGCAAUCAAGGAAAGGCUUACAACACUACACGCAACGAUCAAGGUUUACGGUGACAGCCUUCUCGUUUAGAUGAACAAUCAAGGAAAGGUUUGAUACCAAACAAAAAAAGAAAACAGAAAGAAAAAAAGAAAUCAUUAGAGUUUAAUCUUGUAGGUGUUAAAACCAAAACUCAUAAGUAUAAGGCCGAUGAUACUUCUCACCCUAAUCAUGAGAAGUUCUACUGUCAUCUUCAACGUUUAAAACAACACAUGAUAGGUGUCGGGUAUGUGGCCAAGACUGAAUCAGUAGUUCAUGAUGUGAACAUUGAAGCUAAAAAAGAAUCUCUUUUAAUAUAUAGUGAAAGACUUUAUCUAGUGGAAGUUCUUUUGACUAGUCCAGUGUGUGCACGAGUAUUAAUAUAUAAAAAUAUUCAUGUUUGUGCUGAUUGCCAUAAAGCACUCAAAAUUAUUUCGAAAGUGGUUGGAAGAGAGAUAAUUGCACGUGAUGCAAACAAGUUUCAUUAUACAAAAAAUGAAGUAUGUUCUUGUGGAGAUUAUUGGUGAUAAUUCAGCUUUUAUAGUUAAUCUGUUUUGGUAAUUCUAUAAAUACUUAGUGUUUUGUUCACUGUGUAUCUAUCGAUUAUCUCAAUGUUUUCUGAAUGGAGUCAUAUUUUUAUCACUAAUAAUCAUUUUACAAUUGUUUGCUUCUUUUCCCAUUGAGUGUUGUAUGGAUAAAUGAUGUCUAUUUGUUCUAUAAACAAAGAAUGUUUUCUUUUUUGAAAUAAAAUGAACCAUCUUAAUGAUUUUACCCUUAUGUGUAGAAAUGAUACCCAUUAAAAAUGUCUUCCUAAGAACAAUGAUUGGCCGGAGAUAAAGGUUGGGAUCGGGAAAAAGAAACCCCUUGCCUGUGGGUCUCACCUAGAUAAAAGUGAACAUGUAAAAAACAAUUUCCCUAUUAAGUGCAUAAGCAAAAAAAAAAAAAAAAUAGCACCUUUNAUAUAUAUAUAUAUAUAUAUAUAUAUUGGUGUUUUUUCUUAUUCACCUGAGAAGCCUUUAUAGUAUUGCUUUUGGAUAUUAAUCAAAUGAUUUAGAUAGGAGUAUUAUAGGAAAUCAUCAUAAUAAAGAGCAUCUUAUUAAUAGGACGGAAAUUUUGGGCUUUUUAUUAUAUUUAGUUUGUAGCAAUAGAUUAUUAUAAGAAGGUAGUUGGAAGGUGAGAAGAUUAUCUUUUUUGAAAUCUGGUCCAGCACCUUGGGAGAGAACUAGACAUUCGAAAUUCCAGUAAACAUUAGGGUUUUUUGUGUUGUUUUGAGUAUUUUCAGUCAAUACAGGAAACUAUUGAUUAUUGCUUUUUGUUGUUGAUUUCUACUUAAAAGUCAGGUUCAUUGUACCUUUAAAAACGAAAUAUGAUAGUGGAUAUUGAAAGAUGAUUAAUCCAUCAAAGGAAACAUGAGCAAUAGCAACAAAUUUUCAUAUAUAUAUAUAUAUAUAUAUAUANNNNNNNNNNNNNNNNNNNNNNNNNNNNNNNNNNNNNNNNNNNNNNNNNNNNNNNNNNNNNNNNNNNNNNNNNNNNNNNNNNNNNNNNNNNNNNNNNNNNNNNNNNNNNNNNNNNNNNNNNNNNNNNNNNNNNNNNNNNNNNNNNNNNNNNNNNNNNNNNNNNNNNNNNNNNNNNNNNNNNNNNNNNNNNNNNNNNNNNNNNNNNNNNNNNNNNNNNNNNNNNNNNNNNNNNNNNNNNNNNNNNNNNNNNNNNNNNNNNNNNNNNNNNNNNNNNNNNNNNNNNNNNNNNNNNNNNNNNNNNNNNNNNNNNNNNNNNNNNNNNNNNNNNNNNNNNNNNNNNNNNNNNNNNNNNNNNNNNNNNNNNNNNNNNNNNNNNNNNNNUAUAUAUAUACCGGACAAAUGUUCUAUUUCUUUUUUGCUUGAUGCACUUAAUGGGGACAUUACUUUUUACCUGUGGAUUUAUCCACAGGCAGAGGGUUUCUUUUUCUCGGUCCCAACCUUUUAUCCCCAACCAACCAUUGUUCUUAGGGAGACAUUUUUUUAGUGGGUGUCACUUCUACACAUAAGGGUAAAAUCAUUAAGAUCGUUAAUUUUAUUUCAAAAAAGAAAAGAUUCUUUGUUUAUAGAGCACAUAGUCAUCAUUUAUCCAUAAAACACUCUAUGGGAAAAGAAGCAAAUAAUUGUAAAAUGAUUCUUAGUGAUAAAAAUAUGACUUCAUUCAGAAAACGUUGAGAUAAUCGAUAGAUACACAGCGAACAAAACACUAAGUAUUUAUAGGAUUACCAAAACAGAUUAACUAUAAAAGCUGAAUUAUCAUCAAUAAUCUCGACAAGAACAUACUUUAUUUUUUGCAUAAUGAAACUUAUUUGCAUCACGUGCAAUGAUCUCUCUUCCAACCACCUUUGAAAUAAUCUUGAGUGCUUUAUGGCAAUCAGCACAAACAUGAAUACUUUUAUAUAUUAAUACUCGUGCACAUACUGGAUUAGUCAAAAGAACUUCCACUAGAUAAAGUCUUUCACUAUAUAUUAAAAGAGAUUCUUCUUUAGUUUCAAUGUUCACAUCAUGAACUACUGAUUCAGUCUCGGCCACAUACCCGACACCUAUCAUGUGUUGUUUUAAACAUUGAAGAUGACAGUAGAACUUCUCAUGAUUAGGGUGAGAAGUAUCACCGGCCUUAUACUUAUGAGUUUUGGUUUUAACACCUACAAGAUUAAACUCUAAUGAUUUCUUUUUUUUCUUUCUGUUUUCUUUUUUUGUUUGGUAUCAAUCUUUCCUUGAUUGUUCAUCUAAACGAGAAGGCUGUAGAAGGUUAACCAUCUCAACACAAUGGUAUCCGAGCUCCAAAUCACCGUAAACCCUACGUUGAUUCAUGAUAUUUUCCUAAAUUUCGACACUUGGCUCGAUUGACAUCUUUUCAAUGAAUUCUAAUGCUUCAUUUAAGUACCCUGCACUCCCAUGCAUAUCAACCACACUUGCAUAAUUAUCCAUGGAUGGAGCAAGAUUGUAAAUCUUGAUUAUAGACUCGAAGUGCAAUAGCCCUUCUCUGAUGUCUCCUACAACAUUACAUGCAGUGAGGACACCAAGAAACAUUUGAUUAUCAGGCUUUAAUCCCACCUUUUGAACCUCUUAAAUAUUUCAAUUGCGUCUUCUUCGUGGCCGUUUUUAGCAAGCUAUGUUAUCAUUGUGUUCCAAGAAGUGAUAGUUUUUUGAGUCUUUUCAUUAAACACCAUAUAUGCCUCUUCCAUGGAACCACAUUUGGAAUAUAUUUCCAAGAUUUGGUUGUAAAUAUAAAUAUCACAAUGAGAUCUUAAUACUGACCGUUUAAGGUAUUCAUGAACUUCUUUGUCUCUUUGAGUGUCUGAGAAUCUCCGCAUUCUUCAUCAACAAUAACAACCUAGGCAUGUCAACACAUGUUUUUCUGCCCCGACUAAAUCCAAACCUCCGACCUUCUUUUAACUUUCCAUCCUUGCAGANAUAUAUACUAGUGAAUUUGAGAGGACCGUGCUGAGCACGGCCCGUAGAGGGUACUUUUGGAAUUUUAAAAAUGAUGUUCAAACGAUAAAUAGGAUAUAAAAUAAUAUAUGUACUUUUUAAUCUUUCUACCAAGUAUAAAGUGUAACACUAUAAAUGGUUAGAAUUUUCAAAGUACAUUGCCUAAAUAGGCUCCUUUAUUCGUAUUAAGUGAAAGAGAAACAACCAUAUGUAACUGUCUAGUCUAACUGUCUAAGUGCCUAGGAUAAAGGGCCCUUUUAAUGAAAAACUUAGCAGCAUCUGCAAAAAAGGAAAAUGAAACAUGUUAGGACUCAAAAACAGAAAGAAGUUCAUUCCAGAUCCAUGAAAAUAUUGGUACCUUCAUUUUUUUUUGCCAUUAUUUCAAAUAUGUUUCAAGUUUUACAAUAACACAUUUAACAAUUACAUUUUUUGAGAUGAGGGUUUUCUAAAUAUGCAUCUCAUUUUAUUAAUAUCUUGUACUUUCCACCUGAACCUAUAUAUCCAAUGGUAUCAAUUUCAACCAACAAAAAAAGGUCUACACAAUUUUAGUUAUCAUUUGAGGUUUAUGUGGCUUUUUGGUCUUUGUCCGAAGUAAAAUAUGACUUCACUUUUGGGACCAAAAUUGACAAAAUAGUUGUAGUGAAGGACAAAAGGCAUAAUUCACGUUUUUAUUUAUUUGUUUAUUUAUUAUUAUUAUUAUUUUUUAAAUAAGGAAAAGAAAUUUGGGUAUUUAAAGAAAAAGGAUUUAAAGACACAAAGAUAAAAAACUUGGUAAUUGCCAUGAAGCUGAGAACCGAGGCCCUCAGAGUAAUCAGAACCAAAUGAUACACCCUCUCUAGGAAAAGCUUCCAACACCGGAAAAUUUUGACCCACAUUGGUCAACCUCCAUAGACCCUUUAGAAGAUUUGGUUUCAAGUGCAGUCAACUAAAUGGAAACAUGCACCCUGAUUUUGCACUCGGUUGUUCCUACAACACAAAUAAACUUUAUUAUUAUAAAGGCAAAGCAUAUACUAAUUGAUAUCAUCAGCUUUAAUAUAACAAGAUAUGUGAAGGAAUCCGCAUUAGUUGAAUUUAUGGAAGAAUGAUUUGAGAUGUUAUGCCAUCCUAUAACAAAUUCAAUCACAAUACACUUAUAAUCAUUAAAUGCUUCCUUGAUCCAAUGUCACUCUGCUAAAAUUAAUACGUAAAAGGUUGGAAUUUGGAAAGGGCUAAUGCCAUAAAAACCCUCAAAUUUUCGAAAAAUGUUUGGUUAUAUCCUAAGUCCAUUUUUAUGUCAACAAAAACCGCACAUUUAAGCAAAAAUUGUUAUAAUUGCACUUUUUUCCGAUUUUACCCUCUAUGACAUUAGGGGGUGUUUGGUUACAAAUCAACACAUGUUAAAGGAUGUUUGGUAUUAGGGGAUGUUUGGGAAAGCACCUCCAGUGCUCGCUGCUUCAAAGAAAUCAGCGGAGAACAAUCAGGUUUGCUACCAUUGGCCAAUUUUGUAGCUCUUAUUCUCUCUACUCAAUCUCCGUAUCUGUUGGUGAGCUUGAUUAGGGUUUGAUAGCCAUAUGCAAAUCUGAUUUCAUUUGAUUAUUAAAGUUUCAAAUUUGGGUUUUUUUUUCCUGGGUUUGUGUUGAAGCUGUAUUUGGUUUCAAAUAUGAGGAAAUCCAAAAUCGAAAUUAAACGAAGGGCAUUAGGAAUCCUCUUUUCUUUGGUCAAGAGGAUGAUUUCAGAUGAUGACCAGAUAGAUAAGAAGACCUGAUGAUCUUUAAAAUGCCAUGGUUGUUCUUGCACAAUGUUGACAAAAACAUAACAGAGGAGAUGAUGGUGGCGUGAUAGCUAACGAAGAAAAUGCCCUAAUCUUUUCACCCCUAUUCCAUUACUUGUUUGUGAUUUCCUUGGGCUAACUGGAAAUGCACAAUCAUUGGAUUUAAGUGUUUUUUACUUUUAUGUUUGGUUUUGAGGUUUGAUUACUGUUUGAUUUCAUGUUUGAAUAUAAUUUUAAGGUUAGAUUUCAGAUUUGAAUAUGAGUUUGAGGUGUGGUCGUUGAAUCGGUUCUUUUAGCAGGAAGGAGGAGGAGGUGAUCGUUAGGAGCACGGUUCUUCUUCUUCUUCUUCGAAUAUAAUUUCCCGAUCCACCCUGUCGCUGCUUCAUUUUCCCCUCGAUUGGUGGUUGCCGACGACGAGAGAAGGACCACGAAGGGUCACCGGAAGUUGCAGGUCGCCGGAUUAUCCCUGAUGCCAAACAUCCCCUAACAUGUGUCUAUCUGUAACCAAACACCCCCUAAUGCCAUAGAAGGGUAAAAUCGGAAAAGAGGGCAAUAAAACACCGAUUCAAUAUGUAAAACUCCAAUAAGGUUUUAAUGUUUAUUUUUUGGUUGUAUGCCGUAUCAGAAAACUAAAUAUUAUCAACAGAUGUGGUGAAAAUUCAUGCAAAGGCACAACAUUAUUCUAAUUCAAAUAGGACAGAGUUUCCCACUAUACACAUUUACUCAUUUAGACAUGAUUAUAUCAUUUGUAAUUAAUAUAUUUUGACAAUAGAAAUAACCAUAAACUACCUUUUUAUCUCUCGACUUUUUCUACUGUUUUCCGUCUUUUUCUAUGCCAGGCCAAAAGUAUAGUGUUUAAACAAUGAAAAAUAAUUAAUAUAUACAACAGCUUAACAAAUCAUCUGAGUAUGCCAAUCUUGGGAGACAAUUAAUUAUGAUAGUAAAAAGUCA
This 8547-nucleotide long non-coding RNA is filed under the name Lactuca sativa (garden lettuce). RNAcentral's name for it is "long non-coding RNA (LSAT_LNC010197)". The record is from RNAcentral. Lineage: Eukaryota; Viridiplantae; Streptophyta; Magnoliopsida; Asterales; Asteraceae.